GUCUAACGGUGUGUCCAGCUCCACCCUUACGACAGCGUUUCUACUUACUGAUUUUCCACUCCCUGCAUUCAGUCUUUGGUUCGGAUUCUAAUUUUUAUCAACCUCCGGUGCGCGGUUUCAUCUGGGGAAAGGUUAACGAGUUGCGCGCUAUGAACUGCAUGAUAUAACAGACGUAGGUGACACUGUCUCUUCGCAUUCUUUCUUGCAUCAAUCGAGGCAACCAUUAUCCUCAUCCGUAACGGUCUUGGCAGGCAGGACGCAGAGGUGCGUGCAGGACACGGCCCUCUUUGUCCACCCUCGCAAAGCGCUAAGAGCUGUUGAAUUUCUUUCUAUGUAUUUCUUUUGUGCUUCCAAAAGGUCUGUUAAGAGCCAUUGCAUGUUCCUGGCAGGAGCUCUAGCUGGGCCUGCAUGACCUCUCUUUCUGGCAGCCUUCAAGACGCCUGCUUUGGGAUUGCGACAGCGAUCAUUUGCUGCGAGCCUCUACGCGGAGCUGUUGCUGCAUCUAUCAAGGGCAGCGUGCCGGGCCUGAAAACCCUGA
This 538-nucleotide long non-coding RNA is filed under the name Coccomyxa subellipsoidea. RNAcentral describes it as "long non-coding RNA (CSUB_LNC000700)". Lineage: Eukaryota; Viridiplantae; Chlorophyta; Trebouxiophyceae; Coccomyxaceae. The record is from RNAcentral.